Molecule: microRNA precursor, 103 nt
Filed under: Marmota monax (woodchuck)
Lineage: Eukaryota; Metazoa; Chordata; Mammalia; Rodentia; Sciuridae
Source: RNAcentral
AGUGGGAUAGCUGGGUCUAAUGGUGGUUCCAUUCCAAGUUUUCUAAGGAACCUCUAUACUGCUUUCCAGAUUGGUUGUACCCAUUUACAUUCCCACCAGCAGU